RNAcentral lists this ribosomal RNA (629 nucleotides) under uncultured bacterium. RNAcentral describes it as "bacterial SSU rRNA". The stretch from base 1 to 547 matches the Rfam family "Bacterial small subunit ribosomal RNA", at positions 338 to 873 of the family's 1533-position model. The record is from RNAcentral.
CCUACGGGAGGCAGCAGUGGGGAAUUUUGGACAAUGGGGGCAACCCUGAUCCAGCAAUGCCGCGUGAGUGAAGAAGGCCUUCGGGUUGUAAAGCUCUUUUGUCAGGGAAGAAACGGUGUUUCCUAAUACGGAAUGCUAAUGACGGUACCUGAAGAAUAAGCACCGGCUAACUACGUGCCAGCAGCCGCGGUAAUACGUAGGGUGCAAGCGUUAAUCGGAAUUACUGGGCGUAAAGCGUGCGCAGGCGGUUUUAUAAGUCUGAUGUGAAAUCCCCGGGCUCAACCUGGGAACUGCAUUGGAGACUGUAAGGCUAGAGUGUGUCAGAGGGGGGUAGAAUUCCACGUGUAGCAGUGAAAUGCGUAGAUAUGUGGAGGAAUACCGAUGGCGAAGGCAGCCCCUCGGGAGUAACACUGACGCUCAUGCACGAAAGACGUGGGGAGGCAAACAGGAUUAGAUACCUCGGUAGUCCACGCCCUAAACCGAAUGUCUACUAGUUGUCGGGUCUUAAUUGACUUGGUAACGCAGCUAACGCGUGAAGUAGACCGCCUGGGGAGGUACGGUACGCGAGAAGUAAAUUAAAAGUAAAGUAGUAGACGNGAGAGAGCGACGACGACGACGAGGAGGAGGAG